This 182-nucleotide ribosomal RNA is filed under the name uncultured bacterium. RNAcentral's name for it is "partial 16S ribosomal RNA". It matches the Rfam family "Bacterial small subunit ribosomal RNA", at positions 1319 to 1500 of the family's 1533-position model. The record is from RNAcentral.
CAUGAAGCUGGAAUCGCUAGUAAUCGCGGAUCAGAAUGCCGCGGUGAAUACGUUCCCGGGCCUUGUACACACCGCCCGUCACACCAUGAGAGCCGGUAACACCCGAAGUCAGGAGCCUAACCGCAAGGAGGGCGCUGCCGAAGGUGGGAUUGGUAAUUGGGGUGAAGUCGUAACAAGGUAAC